Molecule: ribosomal RNA, 253 nt
Filed under: uncultured bacterium
Lineage: Bacteria
Description: partial 16S ribosomal RNA
Rfam family: Bacterial small subunit ribosomal RNA
Source: RNAcentral
UACAGAGGUCUCAAGCGUUGUUCGGAUUCAUUGGGCGUAAAGGGUGCGUGGGUGGCGCUGUAAGUCGGGUGUGAAAUUUCGGAGCUUAACUCCGAAACUGCAUUCGAUACUGCGGUGCUUGAGGACUGGAGAGGAGACUGGAAUUCAUGGUGUAGCAGUGAAAUGCGUAGAGAUCAUGAGGAAGACCAGUGGCGAAGGCGGGUCUCUGGACAGUUCCUGACACUGAGGCACGAAGGCCAGGGGAGCAAACGGG